RNAcentral lists this long non-coding RNA (5461 nucleotides) under Durio zibethinus. RNAcentral describes it as "long non-coding RNA (DZIB_LNC002189)". Lineage: Eukaryota; Viridiplantae; Streptophyta; Magnoliopsida; Malvales; Malvaceae. The record is from RNAcentral.
UUUUAUGGCGGCCAAAAUCAUCUCUGUUUACAUUUUUGUAGUUUUGUAGGUGGUUGGACAGAAGGAAAACGAAAGAAAAUUGAAAGGAGACGAUCGUAGAACUACCCCACUGGGAAAAUUACAAUUUGGCAGUGGGAUUUUAAAGAUUAAUCAAUAAUCUACGCUUGUCAUUAAUGAAGUUGGUAAAGAUGAGCAUGAUAGAAAGAUCCAAGAACAUGUUUUUCUUUUUCACAAAAUUCCAGUCCAAAACUUAUAAUUAAAAUUUCAAAUUCUAACUAUUAAAUUGUUCUUUAAAAGAAUAAACAAGAAUGAUAGAACAUGUUUAUUAUGGAUAGGAUGAAAAACAAUCAAAAAAAUAAAAAAUAAAUUCAAAACUCUAAUGUUUAGUUCCGGGUCAAUUUGAUUUUUUUCAUUUGAUUCAUAUUAAAAUAAAAUAUUAAAUAUAUAUUAAGUUAGAUCAAAUUUUAGAUUAAAAUAUGAAAAAUUAAAAAAAAUUAAAGUAUAUAUUUUUUAAAUUUUUAUGAAUUAAAAAUAAUCAUAAUUAUUUAUAAAUUUAUUUAAAUAUAUUAAAAAUUAUAUUAAAAUAAUAUAAAAAACAAAACAAUAAAUUUUAAAAAAUGAUAAGUGAAUCAAACCGAACCAAUAGAUUUUGAUUCAAAUUAAACCAAUUUUUUUAAAAAAUCAAUUAAAAUUUAGAUAAUUUUUUAAAAUAUAUAAUAUUAUUUAAAAAAAUUAAACUAAAUUCGAUUUAAACCAUUAUCACUUAUAAUUAUAGACAUCAAAAUAAUUUACUUUUUUUUAUCAAGAUGUCAUAGAUGCUUAAUAAUUAAAAAAUAAAUAAAUUUAAAGAAAAAUUUUGUCUUUAACACUUAAAAGGUUUUUUUUUAAUUUUUUAACAAAUUUAAUAAAUUUAUCGAUAAUUUAUAUAUAUUAUAAAUAAACAGUUAAAAAAAAUUUUUAAAAAAAUUUUCCGAACCCAUCCAUGUAAAGGUGAGCUAGCAAACUGGGGAGUGGGGACAUUACAUAAUUUUUAUUUGUAUUUUGUUUGAGCAUCAAAAGAACGCUCACCCAAAACGCACAAGGUAGUCAAAUUAAAAAAGGAAAAGAAAAGCUCACAGUGCUGAUUACUGCUGAUGACAAGAAAUAAUGCAAAAGUGAAAGCGGCAUCUACUGGAGCUUAACAUCAUCACGGAAGCAGUACAAACACCUUUUUCCCAUUUUGUCAGCGUUGGAAUGUUGGGGAAGGUGGGGAAGAAGAGAAUCAAAAGCAACUCGGUGCUUCAAAUAGUGAAAUUUGGUCAUCAGGGUGAGAGGUAGAGAUCGAGCUUGAUUUGCGGCAUUCAAAGCGGCUAAAAGCAAUUGAAAAAUGGUUGAUUGGGGAUUCUGGAUUUUAAUGCACUUUUAACGGGGUAUAAUUGAAUUUAAAUAUUAAUUUCACUUAAAUUUAUUUAAUAUAAUUUUUUAUGAAUUUUUUAAUUGUAAUUAUAAUAUUUUUUUUAAUUACAGUUAUAAUAAUAAUUCUUAUUUUUAAUUUUAUUAUUGAUCCAAAUAAAUCUUUACUUUUUAUAGAAUAUUAUUAUUAUUUUUUAUAUCACAAACUUGGAGACUUAAAUUUAAUUCCUUAACAUUAUUUUUUAUGUGGGAUACAAAAAAUAAAGGGAAUGAAAACAUGUGAAGAAAAAAAAUUUUUUAUUAUGUUUGAUACAAAAGAUGACAAAUAACGAAAUAAAUUAUGAUUAAAUUUAUUAACCUAAUUGUAAAGUUAAAAUAUCAAUCUCAAUCUGAUAUGAACUAAGCUUCUAAACAUACAAGCAUAAAAAGUGUCCGAAAGACCUUACUGCAUCUCAAAAAGAUGAUGAAGAAACUUGAACUCUUAGUUCCCAAUCUAUUCUUCUUUUAUUAAAGUGUAAAAUCUAAGUGAAUAUUUAUUGAUGGUAGAUAUUUUUGGUUGAAAAUCCAAUUUCUUUGUUUCUAUAGUUAGUACUUGCUAAAUGCUACAGAUUCCGAUUGACUGCAGUUUCCAGGAAAUUGCAGACCAUAUAAUUAAGUGGUUUAUCAGCAAUUUUCUGCCUCUGCUCAUGCUCUAAUUCUCUAAAUUUAAGACGUAAUCUUGCUGUACCAAAAGAUUUGAUGCACUUACCAAUGAUCAUUAACAUGACAACUGUGUUUUGCUUGACUUGUAAGUUUACAUACAAUAGAAUAGUGGUAAAAGCUUACAGGUUUGCCUAAUUUUUGACAAAGACAUGCACUGAUCCUUCACAGAUAAGGGUUACCUUGUUUCCACCCCAGAAAAAAAAGUUUUGCCCUCUCAUUGGCAAUUCUAGCUAAUAGUUAAAAUCUUAGGCAAGGCUCCACCUGACUAACCCCAAAGAGAUAAAUUUGGGCAUUGCUAACAGUAAAGAAACGAUAUUUUCCAGGGAGUAGUAGCCUGGAAACAUACAGAAUUGGCGACUCUGUUAGUCAAGAGAAAUGGACUUAAUUUUUAACAGUUUUCUUCUUACAAUUAAGUGCUGAAAAUAAACUGUAAAUUUAAGUAGAAGAAAUGAAAAUAUCUCUGAACCAGGACAUUGGGUUCUUUUUCCCAUUUUUUUUUCUCUUUUCUACUUUUGGGUAAUUCAGUAAUGCAUGAGAACUUCAUUAAACCAUUUCAUUUUCCAACUGACAUAACAAUUGUAAUCUUCUUCCUUGUGGGAAUAAUGGCAUAAUAAAUUUUACUACUAAUACACUUGACUAGCCAGAAACUGUAACGGUGAACACGAUUGAAAUUGAACUAUGUUCUACCAGGAAUCCAAAGAUUCCUACACACCCUUUUCAUUUUUUUUUCUUUCUCUCAAAAAACUCAAGGUGAAAAAGAAAAUUUAAUCUAAUAGUCCAAUAUGUACAACAAAUUCUCAACUUGCUAAUGCAAAGGUAAAUGAAAACGCCGCGGAUUGGGCAGCUUUUGUACUGUCAACCUUGUCUUGCCGUGGAGGUUCACAUGGACAUGGCAAUGCUAUGAACUUUGGGAUCUGAUCUCCUGGCAUUAAGACAGGCAAGCUUUGGCUCUGGUUUUUCUUUAAAUCCUGAAUAAAAGAAACACCAAAUAGAGGUUGAGCAUCAAAAAGUAUAGAAACCAUAUUUUAACAUGUCUAAUUAAGCAAAGGUGAGAGAAAAUUUACCAUGUACUCAGGCUUAGACUUCGAGGGAGAUGCUUCGAUAUCCUCGUCGGGAUGCGUGCCAUCGGCGAAAGACCGACGGAGUGAUAUGAGCUUGUCCCAGUGGUAGCAACAGGAGAAGAUGCCACUCAAACCGAAAAUGAAAAUUAACAGGAGAGCCGUGCCAAGAGGGAACCCGAGGGACGGUCGAGAUGCAUCAACGUGGGGUGGGGAAAGAGACUGACUCUCCAUCACAUAUACUCUUUCGGAACAACUGCUUCUUGUUGCUGUUGCUCCUUCUCUCAUACGUAUGAAAGGAGAAAGAAACUACGGUCAAACAGCAUGCAAAUUAUGGCAUUGAAAAAGAAUAGUAUUGUAUCGAGGAGGGGAAUGAGUGGGGGGGGGGAUUUAUAAAAUGAAUGGAAGGUUGCGUUAGUGUGUCCAUGGAAUGGUACAACGAAAAAUGUCCUUGGGAUCCGGACCAUGGUACGGAAUUGGGUGGGGUCCAAUUGUUGGGUGCAACCCAUAAAUAAAUAAAUAAAUAAAAGGGUUAAAAGCUAAAGCAGUAAAAAGAUCAGUUGGGUUUUGCGUGAUUGUUGGGGAAUAGAAGAAAGAAUUUGUUCGGGGUCGGAGAAAGCAGUACUUGUGUAAAGAUGUGAAAGCAAAAAUGGGAAAUUCAGAACAAAGGAUUAUAUAACGUUGGAAAGUGGUUUACCCUAAAAUAUCUUCAGUUUGUCCGGACAAAGGAUUAUACUUUGUUGUAAUCUAGGAUUUUAAUUUUUAACCAGUUGAUAUUAAGCUUUACCCUUUGUAAAUCAAGCUCAGCCUUUUGCCAAAUGAAAGGAAACUGGGGUCCUGAACUAUUGGUUCUACGGCAAGAGGAUGUUAUGGGUAUAUGGCUUUUUGAAGUUCAUGUUGGGCAAAAUCAGAAACCAAACCAAGGAACAAGAAGAAAGAAAUAUUGAGAAGCAAUUAAUUGAGUCAUUUCCUUUCAUGUCAUACAAUAAUUCCCUGAUUUUUUCCGGUUCACGAGUGUGAAUUAAGACAUCUUUAACAGCAAAGUGAAACUUGAAGAAAUUGCAAGGAAGUUUCCGAUUCAAGAAAGUUCCAAGAAAAAAAAAAUAUAUCCGAUCAUAAAAUAAUAGUAAUAGCAAUUUUUUAGGCGUCAGUUCUCCUAUGAUUGAAAGCAACAUCUCGGUGGCUAUGAAAAUCUUUAGAGAAGAUAAGAUAUGGCAUGUAGAAUUCAAAUUUGAAAUGCUUAAGAAGAUUUCAGCUGUCUUCUACCCGCAAAAAAAAAAUACAGAAAGGAAAAUCUAUCCCUUCAUUUUUCUUCAUGAUCCUGACUGUCAUAAGUUUUUUUAAUCGUUGAAACUGACUUGCUUGCUUCAUCAUAAGUAGUUAAACAAAAUCGGAUUUCUUUGAAAGAUCAAAAUUUUGGAAUGUUCAGUGUAGUCAAUGUAGCUUGGUGCAAACUAGAAAAUUGUUUAAUUCCAUUAUUCAUCAAAUAUUUUGAUAUCUGUAUCUUGCCAUAUUUAUAAAAUUAUAAGAGAUUUUAUUGUAGUUAGAGUUUCAAAUUUUGAUUUGUUAUCUAACAGGAUAAAGCUGGGAAGAAUUGAAUAAUUCAUAUGUCUUAUGGUACACUAAAUAAAAAAAAUUAAAAUAAUUUAUACAAAAGGAUACUUCUAUCCUUGUUAAGUAAUAAAAAAAAAUUAAAAACUUGGAUUAAGACAUUAAAAUUUUAUCAUCAACAAUAACAAAAAAAUAAAAAUAAAAUAAUUGAAUUUUACAUCAUCAUCCAACAGUUGGGAUAAGACCGGUGGGAAUCCACCAAGGAUUGUCCAUGAAAGGCCUGUCCCAUGUGAUUUUGCUGAAGAACAGGGUCCCCAUUGGAUAAGGAUGCUUAUCAACCGUACGUUUACAAAUCCUACUUUUUCACUCAAAUUUCUUUGAAUAUUAGGGAACACAAUGGACUAAGCUGCUUUUAUGGCGGCCAAAAUCAUCUCUGUUUACAUUUUUGUAGUUUUGUAGGUGGUUGGACAGAAGGAAAACGAAAGAAAAUUGAAAGGAGACGAUCAGAAAACUACCACAUUGGGAAAAUUACAGCUUGGCGGUUGGGAUUUUAUAUGAUUAAUCAAUAAUCUACGCUUGUAAUUAAUGAAGUUAGUAAAGAUGAACAUGUUAGAAAGAUCCGAGAAAACGGUUCUUUUUCAUAAAAUUCAAGUCCAAACUUAUAAUUAAAAUUUCAAAUUCUAACUAUUAAAAUGUUUUUUAAAAGAAUAAACAAGAAUGAUAGAACAUGUUUAUUAUGGAUAGGAUUAAAAAAUAAA